GAGGGUAUAGCUUAGUGGCAAGGUGCAUGGCUAGUAUGCACGAGGUCCUGGGUUCAAUUCCCUAUACCUCUG
This 72-nucleotide transfer RNA is filed under the name Camelus dromedarius (Arabian camel). It matches the Rfam family "tRNA". From Rfam's summary of the family: Transfer RNA (tRNA) molecules are approximately 80 nucleotides in length. Their secondary structure includes four short double-helical elements and three loops (D, anti-codon, and T loops). Further hydrogen bonds mediate the characteristic L-shaped molecular structure. tRNAs have two regions of fundamental functional importance: the anti-codon, which is responsible for specific mRNA codon recognition, and the 3' end, to which the tRNAs corresponding amino acid is attached (by aminoacyl-tRNA synthetases). tRNAs cope with the degeneracy of the genetic code in two manners: having more than one tRNA (with a specific anti-codon) for a particular amino acid; and 'wobble' base-pairing, i.e. permitting non-standard base-pairing at the 3rd anti-codon position. RNAcentral also lists the same sequence under 1 other name. The record is from Rfam by way of RNAcentral. Lineage: Eukaryota; Metazoa; Chordata; Mammalia; Artiodactyla; Camelidae.